AAGAAACCAACAGGGAUUGCCUUAGUAACGGCGAGUGAAGCGGCAACAGCUCAAAUUUGAAAUCUGGCUCUUUCAGAGUCCGAGUUGUAAUUUGCAGAGGGCGCUUUGGCGUUGGCAGCGGUCCAAGUUCCUUGGAACAGGACGUCACAGAGGGUGAGAAUCCCGUACGUGGUCGCUAGUCAUCGCCGUGUAAAGCCCCUUCGACGAGUCGAGUUGUUUGGGAAUGCAGCUCUAAAUGGGAGGUAAAUUUCUUCUAAAGCUAAAUACUGGCCAGAGACCGAUAGCGCACAAGUAGAGUGAUCGAAAGAUGAAAAGCACUUUGGAAAGAGAGUCAAACAGCACGUGAAAUUGUUGAAAGGGAAGCGCUUGCAGCCAGACUUGCCUGUAGUUGCUCAUCCGGGCUUUUGCCCGGUGCACUCUUCUGCGGGCAGGCCAGCAUCAGUUUGGGCGGUUGGAUAAAGGUCUCUGUCAUGUACCUCUCUUCGGGGAGAACUUAUAGGGGAGACGACAUACAACCAGCCUGGACUGAGGUCCGCGCAUUUGCUAGGAUGCUGGCGUAAUGGCUGUAAGCGGCCCGUCUUGAAACACGGACCAAGGAGUCUAACAUCUAUGCGAGUGUUUGGGUGUCAAGCCCGAGCGCGUAAUGAAAGUGAACGGAGGUGGGACCCCGUAAGGGUGCACCAUCGACCGAUCCUGAUGUCUUCGGAUGGAUUUGAGUAAGAGCAUGGCUGUUGGGACCCGAAAGAUGGUGAACUAUGCUUGAAUAGGGUGAAGCCAGAGGAAACUCUGGUGGAGGCUCGCAGCGGUUCUGACGUGCAAAUCGAUCGUCAAAUUUGGGCAUAGGGGCGAAAGACUAAUCGAACUAUCUAGUAGCUGGUU
This 879-nucleotide ribosomal RNA is filed under the name Neocamarosporium calvescens. RNAcentral describes it as "partial large subunit ribosomal RNA". It matches the Rfam family "Eukaryotic large subunit ribosomal RNA", at positions 59 to 956 of the family's 3401-position model. The record is from RNAcentral. Lineage: Eukaryota; Fungi; Ascomycota; Dothideomycetes; Neocamarosporiaceae.